RNAcentral lists this ribosomal RNA (1174 nucleotides) under uncultured fungus. RNAcentral describes it as "eukaryotic LSU rRNA". The stretch from base 586 to 1174 matches the Rfam family "Eukaryotic large subunit ribosomal RNA", at positions 1 to 600 of the family's 3401-position model. Lineage: Eukaryota; Fungi. The record is from RNAcentral.
UACUGAGUUUUGGGCGUCGGGGUUCUGCCCCGUCGUUCCUCUCUCUCAUGUCCAAUGUUUAUGGUACUCACAGUAUGCUUCGGUGUGACCAGACCCUGCGGGGUCGGCAGGACUGCACCGGUCUUGCUCGUGUCCGCCGACGGCCUAUUCAACCUCAAUCUUCUGGAUGAACGUCUGAAUUAUGAUUGUAUCAAUACAAAUUAAAAAAAAAGCAAAACUUUCAACAACGGAUCUCUUGGUUCUGGCAUCGAUGAAGAACGCAGCGAAAUGCGAUAAGUAAUGCGAAUUGCAGAAUUCCGUGAGUCAUCGAAUCUUUGAACGCACAUUGCGCCCUUUGGUAUUCCGAAGGGCAUGCCUAUUCGAGCGUCAUUAUCACCCCUCAAGUCUGACUUGGUGUUGGUGGAUUCUAGCAAUGCGAGACCGUGUUGCUCCACUGAAAGAUAAUGACCGGGUUGUGAUUCAACGCUAGGUACAGUGAGCUGAUUGAUUUUGGCACGUACUUGAGUGGUGGUCGCGCACCCGUCCGGCAGCGAGAGAGAGAGUUCUCUCUCCCCCUCUCGCUUCCACCCCCUCAACUCUGAAAGUUGACCUCGGAUUAGGUAGGGAUACCCGCUGAACUUAAGCAUAUCAAUAAGCGGAGGAAAAGAAACCAACAGGGAUUGCCUCAGUAACGGCGAGUGAAGCGGCAAAAGCUCAAAUUUGAAAUCUGGCUCUCGGGCCCGAGUUGUAAUUUGGAGAGGAUGUUUUGGGUACCGCUCCGGUGUAAAUUUCUUGGAACAGAAUGUCAUAGAGGGUGAGAAUCCCGUCUGGCAUCGGAGUAGGGCUCGUGUAAAACUCCUUCGACGAGUCGAGUUGUUUGGGAAUGCAGCUCUAAAUGGGUGGUAAAUUUCAUCUAAAGCUAAAUACCCGCCAGAGACCGAUAGCGCACAAGUAGAGUGAUCGAAAGAUGAAAAGCACUUUGAAAAGAGAGUUAAACAGUAUGUGAAAUUGUUGAAAGGGAAGCGUCUACAACCAGACGUGUCCGUGAAGUUCCCCCCGGCUUUUGCCUGGGUUAUUCUUCCCGUACAGGCCAACAUCAGUUCGGUGGGUGGGUCAAAGGCCGGUGGAACGUACCUUUCCUUCGGGCAAGACUUAUAGCCACCAUGUGUCAUGCCACCCUACGCCGGACUGAGGC